GACAGAGGGUGCAAACGUUGUUCGGAUUUACUGGGCGUAAAGCGCGUGUAGGCGGCUUGGCAAGUCGGAUGUGAAAGCCCACGGCUCAACCGUGGAAGCGCAUCCGAAACGGCCUCGCUCGAGUCUCGGAGAGGAAGGUGGAAUGCUUGGUGUAGAGGUGAAAUUCGUAGAUAUUCGGAAGAACACCAGUGGCGAAGGCGGCUCACUGGACCGUUGUUGACGCUGAGGUGCGAAAGCGUGGGGAGCAAACAGG
Molecule: ribosomal RNA, 253 nt
Filed under: uncultured bacterium
Lineage: Bacteria
Description: partial 16S ribosomal RNA
Rfam family: Bacterial small subunit ribosomal RNA
Source: RNAcentral